AAAAUCACAAAGCUGUUCUUUAUACUGCAAAUGUUGCUGGAGCUUUGACUUCUUUGGACCCUUUUUCUUUUCUGUGCAUCUAUGAAAUAGGUGUAGAAACAUGUUGCAAACCAUGUACCUGGCAUAGACUUGGGUUAGUCUUUCUAGCACCUAUACUAUUUUCUGUAGUAGCAGGCUGAAGUCAGACAGCUUUUGGUGGUUCAGGUUGAUUUCUGUCUAUCAAACUUCUGCAAAAGGAAGAAGAUCAUUCAACUUGUCCUUCCUGUAUAAUGCACAAUUCUUUUGGCCUUCCUUAUACUCCAGCUCUGUAAUGUGGAAAAAUCACUUUAGUAAAAUUUGAAGAUUAUGGAUUUUUUUUUUUUGUCCCACUGGGGAAAAAAAAGAUUUGGUACCAAAUAUAUAUUUUUUGCCAUACAUAAGUCAAAAUUUAAAAUUACAAUCUUGUUACUUAUUUAGACUUUUCAGUGGCAAAAACAAGUUUCCAUAUAAGAUUAAGCUGGUAUUAGUUGCAUUACAUACUUGCACCUCCUUCCAUGUAUUUCAGUGUAAAUAUGUUUAUGUAUUGUAAAAUUUAAAUUUAAAGUCGAUUAUUAUGUGUGAGGAAAGCUCCAGUACGAAAAAUACAAAACUGUGCAGUGCAUCCCUUUUCUUCCUAACUGAUUCAGCAUCAGGGCAGAGUCUGUUCCAGCUGCCAGAAGCAGAGGACAACAACACGGAGGGCUAACACAGAGAGACAAGCACUCAUAUUCACAUUCACACCUAUGACCAAUUUAGAAUUACACGUUACUCUAACAUGCAUGUGUAAAGGGAGAGAACCUAUAAAGGUACAGAGAUAAAGUCCCCGGCCAAAGAACUCAAACCCUUCUUGUAUUCUCGCUGUGAGUUGAAAGCGCUGCAGUUACCUAAUAAUUACCUGAGCCGAGGAUUCAGCCCAGCUUAGAAGCGAUUACGUUUUAGUUUCAGAAUCAGAAUCAGAAAGGGGUUUAUUGCCAAAUGUUGAGCAGGUUUACAACAUUAGGAAAUUGCUGAAUCCAGAUUUCUUUUUCCUUGUGAGAUAACUGUAUCAUGUCCUCAUGAAUAGAAAUUAAUAAUAAAAAAUGCAUUAUAUGAUACUGCAUUGGUGUUUGCAGGAAAAUAAUUACUACUUAAAUACUAUGUGCACAGAGCACCCGUGUUUGUCCCCCCCAAUGUUACAAGAGCUGACCUGUAGAGGGCAUCUGAGCACAACGAAAUGAUCACUAGGUUACAGCUGGAGGCCUGACAGGCUCCCAGAGGCUCUUUGUGUGAGUAUGAAUGCAUGCAAGCUGUAACAUAUUAAAGACAUAAAAGCACUACAAAUAUUGACUCAUGUCUUUAACUUGUUGUCUAGCAUAAGUCAAACAUUUGUAAACUGUGGCUUUUUAAAUUGAGAUCACUGGC
Molecule: long non-coding RNA, 1419 nt
Organism: Astatotilapia calliptera (eastern happy)
Lineage: Eukaryota; Metazoa; Chordata; Actinopteri; Cichliformes; Cichlidae
Source: Ensembl